UUCUUUAAGACAUUAAUUUAAAGUACAACCUGCUCAGUGACAAUUUCAACAGCCGCAGUAUUCCUGUGCUAAGGUAGCAUAAUAAUUAGCUUCAUAAUUGGAAGAUAGAAUGAAAGGUUAAACAAAAGGUAACUGUUUCAAUACAAAUAAUAAACCUUACAUAAAGGUAAAAAGGCCUUUAUAAUCACACAAGACAACAAGACCCUGACAAACUUAAAAUUUAAUUGGGGCAAUGAAAUAAAAACACUUUAUCAUUUUUCAAAACAAAACUCAUAUAAUGAAUCAAGUCUAGUUACUGCAGGGAUAACAGCGCAAUGUUUUUCAAAAGCUCUUAUAUAAAAAAACGAUUACGACCUCGAUGUUGAAUUAGUCUAGCUUAUCGGGGCAAAACCUGAAAAAGUUGGUCUGUUCGACCAUUAAAAGAUU
RNAcentral lists this ribosomal RNA (426 nucleotides) under Crossopriza pristina. Its description in RNAcentral is "partial 16S ribosomal RNA". It matches the Rfam family "Archaeal large subunit ribosomal RNA", at positions 1921 to 2666 of the family's 2987-position model. The record is from RNAcentral. Lineage: Eukaryota; Metazoa; Arthropoda; Arachnida; Araneae; Pholcidae.